UACAGAGGUCUCAAGCGUUGUUCGGAUUCAUUGGGCGUAAAGGGUGCGUAGGCGGCGCGGUAAGUCGGGUGUGAAAUCUUGGAGCUUAACUCCGAAACUGCAUUCGAUACUGCCGUGCUUGAGGACUGGAGAGGAGACUGGAAUUUACGGUGUAGCGGUGAAAUGCGUAGAUAUCGUAAGGAAAACCGGUGGCGAAGGCGGGUCUCUGGGCCGUUCCUGACGCUGAGGCCCGAAAGCCAGGGGAGCAAACGGG
RNAcentral lists this ribosomal RNA (253 nucleotides) under uncultured bacterium. RNAcentral describes it as "partial 16S ribosomal RNA". It matches the Rfam family "Bacterial small subunit ribosomal RNA", at positions 524 to 776 of the family's 1533-position model. The record is from RNAcentral.